CACGUAGGGGGCGAGCGUUGUCCGGAUUUAUUGGGCGUAAAGAGCUCGUAGGCGGUUUCGUAAGUCGGAUGUGAAAACUCCAGGCUCAACUUGGAGACGCCAUUUGAUACUGCGAUGACUUGAGUCCGGUAGGGGAGUGUGGAACUCCUGGUGUAGCGGUGAAAUGCGCAGAUAUCAGGAGGAACACCGGCGGCGAAGGCGGCACUCUGGGCCGGUACUGACGCUGAGGAGCGAAAGCGUGGGGAGCAAACAGG
This 254-nucleotide ribosomal RNA is filed under the name uncultured bacterium. Its description in RNAcentral is "partial 16S ribosomal RNA". It matches the Rfam family "Bacterial small subunit ribosomal RNA", at positions 524 to 776 of the family's 1533-position model. The record is from RNAcentral.